This 570-nucleotide small RNA is filed under the name Pongo abelii (Sumatran orangutan). RNAcentral describes it as "retained intron". The record is from RNAcentral. Lineage: Eukaryota; Metazoa; Chordata; Mammalia; Primates; Hominidae.
AGCAUUACUCCCCAGCCCCCAUGUACUCUCAGACCUUUCACAUCCUGGUGCUGGGCUGACGUCCCUCAGCUCCCAGGCCCUACUGAGGCCUCCCCCGGCUCCCUGCAGGCUUCGUGAGCAACCUGCGCACCUUUCUGUGGCUCCGGGUGCAGCAGUUCACGUCUCAGCGGGUGGAGCUGCGCGUCUUCUCCCACCUGCACGAGCUCUCACUGCGCUGGCACCUGGGGCGCCGCACAGGGGAGGUGCUGCGGAUCGCGGAUCGUGGCACAUCCAGUGUCACAGGGCUGCUCAGCUACCUGGUGUUCAAUGUCAUCCCCACGCUGGCCGACAUCAUCAUUGGCAUCAUCUACUUCAGCAUGUUCUUCAACGCCUGGUUUGGCCUCAUUGUGUUCCUGUGCAUGAGUCUUUACCUCACCCUGACCAUUGUGGUCACUGAGUGGAGAGCCAAGUUUCGCCGCGCUAUGAACACACAGGAGAACGCUACCCGGGCACGAGCAGUAGACUCUCUGCUAAACUUCGAGACGGUGAAGUAUUACAACGCCGAGAGUUAUGAAGUGGAACGCUAUCGAG